This 406-nucleotide ribosomal RNA is filed under the name uncultured bacterium. Its description in RNAcentral is "partial 16S ribosomal RNA". It matches the Rfam family "Bacterial small subunit ribosomal RNA", at positions 29 to 526 of the family's 1533-position model. The record is from RNAcentral.
AUUGAACGCUGGCGGCAGGCCUAACACAUGCAAGUCGAACGAGUGGCGGACGGGUGAGUAAUGUCUGGGAACCUGCCCGAUGGAGGGGGAUAACUACUGGAAAUGGUAGCUAAUACCGCAUACCAUCGGAUGUGCCCAGAUGGGAUUAGCGAGUAGGUGGGGUAAAGGCUAACCUGGGCGACGAUCCCUAGCUGGUCUGGGCGGAUGACCAGCCACACUGGAACGGAGACACGGUCCAGACUCCGACGGGCGGCAGCAGUGGGGAAUAUUGCACAAUGGGCGCAAGCCUGAUGCAGCCAUGCCGCGUGUAUGAAGAAGGCCUUCGGGUUGUAAAGUACUUUCAGCGGGGAGGCGUUACCCGCAGAAGAAGCACCGGCUAACUCCGUGCCAGCCGCCGCGGUAAUAC